This 1069-nucleotide long non-coding RNA is filed under the name Homo sapiens (human). RNAcentral describes it as "HSALNT0319284". Lineage: Eukaryota; Metazoa; Chordata; Mammalia; Primates; Hominidae. The record is from RNAcentral.
CGCGGAGUGCGGGGGAUGUAGUUCCGGUUGGGAGGGGCGUGGCUGAGGACUGUGAAGCAAUCGGGGCGAGGCCGGGUGUCUGUUCAACUCUCCCGCGUAUCGUCUGUUUCUUCGGCGGCGGACAGUGUUCUGUAAUGUGUCUCCCGUUGCCCGAGCUAAAGGUUUUCCUCGACGGAGUCUUUAGAAUACCGUGGUAGAGGCAGUCUCCACACCACUGUGCUCGAACAGCUCUAUGAAGAGGCCUAUGUGGAGAGGAGAAAAAGCCUCCACCAACAGCCAGCACCAACUUGCCAGCCAUAUAUGAACUCUCGCUAUGUUGCCUCGGCUGGUCUCAAACUCCUGGGCUCAAGUGAUCCUCCCACUUCGGCCUCCCAAAAUGGCGUCUUGCUCUGUCACCCAGGCUGGGGUGCAGUGGUGUGAUCUCAGCUCACUGCAACCUCUGCCUCCUGGGUUCAAGCAAUUCUUCUGCCUCAGCCUCCCAAAGAGCUGUGAUUACAGACGUGUGCCACAAUACCCGGCUAAAGAUGGGGUUUUGCCAUGUUUCCUAUGCUGGUCUGGAACUCAUGAACUCAACAGAUUGUCCCACCUCAGCCUCUCAAAGUGCUGGGAUUACAGGAAAGUCAAUGUUCUGAGCAAGAAGAACAAGGAACAGAAGGUAUAAUGAUAACAGAUGAGAGAGGAAAAAGCAGACUCAAUCAACUCCUACUUUUCCAUCAUUUUUCCGUUACAGAGAAUUAUCCUCAAAUUAGAAGGAGUAGGACCUACAUGGUAAAGAAAAAAUUUACGUGCAAGGCAGAUGAGGAAGUAAGAGAGCAUCCAGCCCCUUCACACAACUUCAUUCUCUGUCUUACCGAAAGAAUGUGAAAUGUGGUGGUAGCUUUACUGGGGACAGGAGAGGUGCCAGAAGUUUGAAGAUGGACUAAUCUCCUUGUUUUCUAAAAGAAGAACCUAUAAGUCUCUGAGCACAUUUUUCUUUGGCAAAAUUCUGGAAUGGAUAAUUAGACAAAUGGUUUGUGAAUCUUUAGAAAAGUGGCAAAAACAAGGCACAGCAUAAAUUCACUAAAAAAUA